UACAGAGGUCUCAACCGUUGUUCGGAUUCAUUGGGCGUAAAGGGUGCGUAGGCGGUCGCGCAAGUCGGAUGUGAAAUCUCAGGGCUCAACCCUGAAACUGCAUUCGAUACUGCGUGGCUAGAGUGCUGGAGAGGAGACUGGAAUUUACGGUGUAGCGGUGAAAUGCGUAGAUAUCGGGAGGAACACCUGUGGCGAAAGCGGCGCACUGGACCAUAACUGACGCUGAUGCGCGAAAGCUAGGGGAGCAAACAGG
This 253-nucleotide ribosomal RNA is filed under the name uncultured bacterium. RNAcentral describes it as "partial 16S ribosomal RNA". It matches the Rfam family "Bacterial small subunit ribosomal RNA", at positions 524 to 776 of the family's 1533-position model. The record is from RNAcentral.